Molecule: long non-coding RNA, 886 nt
Organism: Numida meleagris (helmeted guineafowl)
Lineage: Eukaryota; Metazoa; Chordata; Aves; Galliformes; Numididae
Exons: 3
Source: RefSeq, a predicted model, not a curated record
CUAAGGGAGAGUUUCUUUCUGGAGAUCCCUCUUUGGUAGAGCCUUUCCCUCUGAACCCAGAAUCUUCUGAUGUGGAAUCUCCUAUACCGAAAACGACGAUCCAAUUAAAUCUAUGAAUGUUGUUGUGGGGAGAGCAUUCUGAGUUGCUGGAGACACUGUUAUCGUAUUUGUGUCAGAUUUGGCUGUUAUGAAACAAAUCAGUAUGCAAAACUUUCUUCAGCUAUUUCUGAGUGCCUUUUCUUCUUUGCUGGAUGAGAUGGACAGGUCUUCAAGCAGAGAUGUCUUACUUAAAGAAUCAAUUUGAGAAGAUUAGAGAACUGUAAGGCGUAACAUCAUGAAACAAAACCAAAACAAUGUCAAAACCUUGUGAAAAUGAUGGAGUCCCAUCCAUCACUUCAGGAGAGAAGCUGGGAGCAAAGUUAAAGCCUUCAGAGCACUGGAACAGCUGUUAAGUACAUGCGUGUGAUUUGUGUGCUGUGGAGCUUUAUCAUCCAUCUGAAGACAAGUUCUAACAUAACUCUUUUCUCAGCUUCCUUAUACUUUUAGAAUCAAGAUUCUCUGAAUUUUAUAAAGUAAUUUUGCUGAUUGCAUGUAUGCAGUAAAUGUUCCAUCUUGUCACUUCUAAUUAGCAAGAUAUAUUUCUUGUAACGCUUCAUUUCAUUGCAAUCAUUUUUUAUAUGAUACACUAUAAAUCAUGUUUGUGACACAGUUUUCCACUCAGAAUGAAAAUAAGCAUUAUAUAUAUGUAUAUAUUUGUGGUGUUAUGGGAAGAAUAUCAUCAGUGCUUCAUUGCGCAGGGCUUGUCUGUACUGCUGUGACUUGCAUGAAUAGCUGGAAUCCACUGUAGAUGCCUGUCUGAGGUCUAGUUAAUGUCAGAUUGGAAAUC